RNAcentral lists this transfer RNA (76 nucleotides) under Staphylococcus aureus. RNAcentral's name for it is "tRNA-Ala(tgc)". It matches the Rfam family "tRNA". From Rfam's summary of the family: Transfer RNA (tRNA) molecules are approximately 80 nucleotides in length. Lineage: Bacteria; Bacillati; Bacillota; Bacilli; Caryophanales; Staphylococcaceae. The record is from RNAcentral. RNAcentral also lists the same sequence under 4 other names.
GGGGGCUUAGCUCAGUUGGGAGAGCGCCUGCUUUGCACGCAGGAGGUCAGCGGUUCGAUCCCGCUAGUCUCCACCA